Long non-coding RNA from Mustela erminea (ermine), 1621 nucleotides. RefSeq lists it as uncharacterized. The record is from RefSeq and is a predicted model, not a curated record. The transcript is spliced from 2 exons. NCBI's taxonomy places the organism in Eukaryota, Metazoa, Chordata, Mammalia, Carnivora, Mustelidae.
CCCCAAGAAGAGGCGGAGAACACGCGGGGCUUGGGCACAGAAAAAUGCACUUGGCGUCACGUCAACUUUCACCUGAGCCUAAAGAACUUGGGGGGAAAGCGCCCCCUCGUGGACGACUGGAAAAUUCCAGUAACAGGGUUAAGGAGGAUCGUCUUGAGUUGCGGCAUGGGAGGUUUGGUUGCAUAAGCUCAGCUGCCCAGCUCGGAGGCUACCUCAUUCCCUCUGCAGCUACCAAACUAUAGGAAAAGGCUCGAAGACAACUGGUUUUGAAAGUAACUGAUUUCCUCUGUAAUUUUAAAUGUUCUGUUCUAUGCAUUAAGAAGUCUUAUUCCUGGGAUGCUUGGGUGGCUCAGUUGGUUAAGCCUGGGAGGGUGGUUGAGACUGAGCCCUGUGGGGGGAGCUCUGGGCUCAGCCCGGAGCCUGCUUAACAUUCUUUCUCCUCUGCCCCCCCCCCCAAUAAAUAAAUCUUUAAAAGCUUUAUUCUAAGAAGAAUGUGCACCUUCUACCCCCCUCCCCAAAUAAAUAAAUCUUUAAAAGCCUUAUUCCAAGAAGCAUGUGCAGGUUUCAGCAGACCACAAAAGGAAUCUUCUGUAGAAAAAAGGUUUGAAAUUUGCAUGCUUGGGAGAAAAGACCCGGUGCACCCAGGAGUGAGGCUGGGGAAGAGAAUGGGGAGAAGAUUCAGAACUAAGAGCUAUGGAACUGGGGAAGAGGAGAAAGGAGAUACAUUCUAGGGACUGGUCCCCACUAAAGACAGCUUGUCUUUCUGGGCCUCCCCUCCAACCUUUGUCUUUCAAAGCAGCCUCUCCCUCUUCCACUGUCUCACUCUUCCACUAUCUGAUUCUGAGAAUUCUGGCAUUUUCUACUAAGCCUACUAGGCCUACAUGAAGUUCGUUCUACCAGCACCAGGAACCUUACAGUUGUCCUUUUGCUAAUCCUCUCUUUUGUAGUCCUAGGAGAGUCUGUGGGUAAGGCAAAACUUUACCCUCUACUGUCUUAGGGACUCCAUAUGGGCUUGAGAAUUAAGUUGACACACGACAGAUUAAUAGGAGAAUAGCACAUUGAUUUUUACAUCAACAUGGAAGGUCCAAUAGGAAAAUGAAAAUCCAAAGUAGUGGGUAGGCCUAAAUGUUUUUAUACUGGGUUGAACAAAGGGAGGCAAUUAUGAAAAAGCAAGACAUAUGGGAAGAUUAAAGGAGGAUAUAAAUUAUUUUAACAAGGUCUGUACCAAUUUCUCUGGGCCCUGACUUCCUGUCUCACAUGACAAGAAUGCUUCUUUCCUCCUGAUGCAGUGAGGGCAUCUUUUACACGCAUCUCCUGCUUUCAGGAAGGAAAAGGGAGCGCGCUCUUCCUGCACCUGCUGUCAGAGGUGUCAGAGCGCUCUUCCUGCACCUGCUGUUUUCCAGGUGCCCUUAGCUCAAAACAAUCCUUAUGUCAAAGUGUCGUAUUUUGGGGUGGCGUAUGUUGCCACUCUUCAAGCUCAAGCAUGGGAAUAUGCCCAGAGAACAGCAUAGUUAGUUCAGAUCUCCUUGUGAUACUGUGGGGUCAACAUGCUGAAAGUGAGUCCAGAAGGUCCAGAUCAUACUUGAUAUCUGUUAAAAAUAAAAACAAAACCCUUCACCUA